CUCCUCGCACUACAUGACCAUUCCUGAACUCAAAUGAAAUUAAGUUUAUUUACAAAUAAGCUUCCUCUAGAGUCAAAGGGGGCCUCCCCCAUUACACAUGGACAUCUCCCUCUUUGCUCCAAAAGAAACAUAUACAAACUUCUUCCCUCUUCACCAACAAAGAGGCAAUGAUCAGCAGUCACCACCUCUAGACAUGCAAAGCAACAACCACAGCAGCUACAACAACAACAGCAGCAACAAUCAUCCCCAGAAUAGCCAUACCUCGACGAGCCGGUCAUCGGAUUCCGGUGAGCCUUGUGGAUCUACAGGUAACAAAUGGGCAUCAAAGCUUCUUAGGGAGUGUGCUAGAGCCAUCUCUGACAAGGAUUCAAGCAAAAUCCAUCAACUUCUUUGGAUGUUAAAUGAGCUUGCUUCCCCUUAUGGAGAUUGUGAUCAGAAAUUGGCAUCUUAUUUCUUGCAAGCACUUUUUUGUAAGGCCACGGAGUCCGGCCACCGAUGCUUCAAAACCCUAACUUCAGUAGCUGAAAAGAGCCACUCCUUUGAUUCUGCUAGGAAGUUGAUACUAAAAUUCCAAGAGGUAAGCCCUUGGACAACUUUUGGUCAUGUUGCUUCUAAUGGUGCAAUCUUAGAGGCCUUAGAAGGUGAAACCAAACUUCACAUAAUUGAUAUUAGCAAUACCCUUUGCACCCAAUGGCCCACUUUGCUUGAAGCGUUAGCCACAAGAAACGACGAGACCCCCCAUUUAAAGCUCACUGUUGUUGUUACUGCUAGCAUCGUAAGAUCAGUCAUGAAGGAAAUAGGCCAAAGAAUGGAGAAGUUUGCUAGGUUAAUGGGUGUCCCCUUCGAGAUCAAUGUAAUAAGUGGGCUAAACAACUUAUCAGAGCUCACUAAGGAAGGAUUAGGUGUUCAAGAAGAUGAAGCUAUAGCGAUCAAUUGCAUCGGAGCAUUGAGAAUAGUUGAAGUAGAAGAAAGAAGUGCUGUGAUCCGAAUGUUGCAAUCGCUUAACCCUCGGGUUGUGACAGUAGUUGAAGAAGAAGCUGAUUUUACUAGCUCAAGAUAUGAGUUCGUCAAGUGCUUUGAAGAGUGCCUUAGGUAUUAUACUCUAUAUUUUGAGAUGCUAGAAGACAGCUUUGCCCCAACUAGCAAUGAAAGAUUGAUGUUGGAGAGGGAGUGCUCAAGAAGCAUAGUUAGGGUUUUGGCUUGUGACUGUGAAGAAAAUGGUGGUGAUGGAGGAGAAGGAGAGUGUGAGAGAAGGGAAAGAGGAAAUCAGUGGUGUGAGAGACUCCGGGAGGCGUUUACACCGGUUGGAUUCAGCGAUGAUGUUGUGGAUGAUGUCAAGGCAUUGCUUAAAAGAUACAGAGCUGGGUGGUCACUUAUGCAGCCUCCUCAAGGAGAUCAAGAAUCAUCAGGACUUUACUUGACAUGGAAAGAGGAAGCUGUGGUAUGGGCAUCAGCAUGGAAACCCUAAUCAUCAUCAUCAUCAUCAACAACAACAACAACUUCAUCAUCUAUACACUACACAAGAGUGGUGAUGAUGAUGAUGACCAAGUAAAGUCUAAAUGGUAUUAGCAUGGGAAUUUAUUCAGAACCUGGAUGAGAGAAUUGAUUGGCCAUGAACAAUUAGAUUUGAUGAUGAUGGAGUUUAUCACUACUUUUUUUUCCAUAUCCCAGUUCUUCGUGUGCUUCUUUCAUAAUUAUUAUCAUGCGUAUUUGUAUUUUUAUCUCUAUAUGUUCAAGUACUUUGCUUCUCUUCUGCUUUAUGCUUGGGAGUUUGUGUUGCUUUUUUAACUGCUUUUAGAUCAUUGUAUUUGUUUUAAGGUGUGUCCACUAAGUGCCUCUUUUUUCAGUUCCAUACCAUCAUCCCAUUUUCCCUUUUGGAUUGCUUGCUCAAUAUCUUUCUCCUCAACUCUUAGUACUGGGGGAAUUUGUAACAAUAA
RNAcentral lists this unclassified non-coding RNA (1937 nucleotides) under Hevea brasiliensis (rubber tree). The record is from RNAcentral. Lineage: Eukaryota; Viridiplantae; Streptophyta; Magnoliopsida; Malpighiales; Euphorbiaceae.